This 246-nucleotide ribosomal RNA is filed under the name uncultured bacterium. Its description in RNAcentral is "partial 16S ribosomal RNA". It matches the Rfam family "Bacterial small subunit ribosomal RNA", at positions 796 to 1041 of the family's 1533-position model. The record is from RNAcentral.
CACGCCGUAAACGAUGAAUACUAGGUGUAGGGGGUAUCGACUCCCUCUGUGCCGAAGCUAACGCAUUAAGUAUUCCGCCUGGGGAGUACGGCCGCAAGGCUAAAACUCAAAGGAAUUGACGGGGGCCCGCACAAGCAGCGGAGCAUGUGGAUUAAUUCGACGCAACGCGAAGAACCUUACCUAGGCUUGACAUGUUCAGGACCGCAUUGGAAACAAUGCUUCCCUUCGGGGCCUGAUCACAGGUGG